CGAGUCGGGCGGACGGUCGCGAUACCCACCAGGUGUCGAGGAAAGUCCGGGCUCCACAGGGCAGGGUGGUCGUUAACAGCGACCCGGGGUGACCCGCGGGAAAGUGCCACAGAGAACAGACCGCCUGCUUCGGCAGGCAAGGGUGAAACGGUGGAGUAAGAGCCCACCAGCGGCCGGGGUGACCCGGUCGGCUCGGCAAACCCCACCUGGAGCAAGGUCAAGAGGGAGAGGUCGUUUCGGCGCCGCUCCUGCGCAGGCGUUCGAGGGCGGCCCGCCCGAGUCUGCGGGUAGACCGCACGAGGCCAUUGGCAACAGUGGUCCUAGAUGGAUGACCGUCGCCUCUUCGGAGGUACAGAACCCGGCUUACAGCCCGGCUCGUCCC
Molecule: RNase P RNA, 382 nt
Filed under: Actinomycetota bacterium
Lineage: Bacteria; Bacillati; Actinomycetota
Description: RNase P RNA component class A
Rfam family: Bacterial RNase P class A
About the family: Ribonuclease P (RNase P) is a ubiquitous endoribonuclease, found in archaea, bacteria and eukarya as well as chloroplasts and mitochondria. Its best characterised activity is the generation of mature 5'-ends of tRNAs by cleaving the 5'-leader elements of precursor-tRNAs. Cellular RNase Ps are ribonucleoproteins.
Source: RNAcentral